RNAcentral lists this ribosomal RNA (1479 nucleotides) under metagenome. RNAcentral describes it as "bacterial SSU rRNA". It matches the Rfam family "Bacterial small subunit ribosomal RNA". The record is from RNAcentral.
AUGCAAGUCGGACGAGAAAGAGGUUGCUUGCAACCUUGAGUAGAGUGGCGAACGGGUGAGUAACAUGUGGAUAACCUUGCUUUAAUUAGAGGAUAACUAUUCGAAAGGGUAGCUAAUACUGUAUGAAGUAUAUAUAUGCAGGUAUAUAUAUUAAAGGCUGGUAUAGAGAUAUAUUAGUUGAUUAGAGAUGGGUCCGCAUACCAUUAUGUUAGCUGGUAGGGUAAAGGCCUACCAGGGCGACGAUGGUUAGCUGAUCUGAGAGGAUGGUCAGCCACACUGGAACUGAAACACGGUCCAGACUCCUACGGGAGGCAGCAGUGAGGGAUUUUGCGCAAUGGGGGGAACCCUGACGCAGCAACGCCGCGUGAGUGAAGAAGGCCUUUGGGUCGUAAAGCUCUGUCGACAGGGAAGAAGUGUAUUAUAUUAAUAGUAUGAUAUAUUGACGGUACCUGUAGAGGAAGCACCGGCUAACUCCGUGCCAGCAGCCGCGGUAAUACGGGGGGUGCAAGCGUUAUUCGGAAUUAUUGGGCGUAAAGGGCACGCAGGCGGAUUUGUUAGUCAGAUGUGAAAUUCCAGGGCCUAACCUUGGGCGUGCAUUUGAUACGGCAAGUCUUGAGUACGGUAGAGGGAAGCGGAAUUCCUGGUGUAGAGGUGAAAUUCGUAGAUAUCAGGAGGAACACCGAAGGCGAAGGCAGCUUUCUGGUCCGAUACUGACGCUGUAGUGCGAAGGCGUGGGGAGCAAACAGGAUUAGAUACCCUGGUAGUCCACGCAGUAAACGAUGUUCACUAGGUGUAGCAGGUAUUAAAAUUUGCUGUGCCGCAGCUAACGCAAUAAGUGAACCGCCUGGGGAGUACGGUCGCAAGAUUAAAACUCAAAGGAAUUGACGGGGGCCCGCGCAAGCGGUGGAGCAUGUGGUUUAAUUCGACGCAACGCGAAGAGCCUUACCUGGGUUUGACAUCCUGUGUAUUUUUUAGAGAUAAGAGAGUGCCUUUUUAAAGAGGAGCACAGAGACAGGUGCUGCAUGGCUGUCGUCAGCUCGUGUCGUGAGAUGUUUGGUUAAGUCCAGCAACGAGCGCAACCCUUAUCUUUAGUUGCCAGCACGUAGAGGUGGGAACUCUAGAGAGACUGCCCCGGUUAACGGGGAGGAAGGUGGGGAUGACGUCAAGUCCUCAUGGCCUUUAUAUCCAGGGCUACACACGUGCUACAAUGGUAUGUACAGAGGGUAGCAAGCUAGAGAUGGUGAGCUAAUCCCCAAAGCAUAUCUUAGUUCGGAUUGGAGUCUGCAACUCGACUUCAUGAAGUUGGAAUCGCUAGUAAUCGCGGAUCAGCAUGCCGCGGUGAAUAAGUUCCCGGGCCUUGUACACACCGCCCGUCACACCAUGAGAGUUGAUUAUACCCGAUAUCGUUGAGCUAACCUAUUUAUAGGAGGCAGGCGCUUAAGGUAUGGUUGAUGAUUGGGGUGAAGUCGUAACAAGGUA